UUAUCGUAGUCAAAGAAAUGUGAACCGUUAUCAAUAAUUUUCCUUUAAACGAUUAGUAUAUUUCAUGACUACUGAGAUUUCAAAAUUAAUUUGAAAUAUCUCAACUAUUGGAAGCAGACGUAAAAUUAACUGAUAAAAUUAUUUUCGACAAAGCUCAUGUUUACCUUUCAAGUUAAGAGUAACGUCACCUAAAUCCAUAUAGUUUAUCCAAAGGACAGAGAAAUCCGUCUGAAUUUGAUACUACAACGGUAGCGUACAUUUCACUAUAUUAAGAACACAUAAAAAACGAUUUAACUAAACGAAAUACACUAAAAAGUUUAUCGAGAACUUUUAACGCCGACUUAUCGGUUAAUACUGCAGUAAAUAUAUUGCACGAUUAUAUUGUUUCAAACUGACCGAAUGACUCAAAGCAUUAUGAUGGCAACUGAAUGAUGGGCCGUCCUUUGGGGAUGAGGCGUGGGGGAGAGGUAUACGGUGGCCAUUAAAAAAUUGCUAGCAGCUGUGGAACGUUGUAUAGGGGACGCCCCGAAUCCUUUUGGGAUUGCAAAACCGGUAUACACGAGUGAGGGUGACGAUCCAACGGGGUUGUUUGACGAAAAUGUCUACCGCAUUCGAAAGAUAACCGUUGGACAUUCAUUUUUUUGAUAACGUCUCUAUUGUUUAAAAUUGAAUAAGCUUAUUAGCUAUGCAUCGAAAUCACGAUCUAUAAAAAAGUAAACGGUAGCAUGUGCAUAAAGUUUUUUUUAUGCGAGAGUCAUAUGUGUCGACAGUUUAUGAUAUUGUUGAAUGAUUAAGAAGACACCAAGACCUCUUAAAAUGUUAAUUUAGUGCCCCUGCACAGUCAAUGGGCCCAUAAACAACAUCAUGAGCCUAUAAAAACAAGGUCGUAAAAGUGUCCCAGCCUUUUUUUUUUUUCGAAGGACAGAUAUUUUGAUUCCAUGUAUCUUAAACGGAAACGUCGUGUACGAGGUUCAGUAUUACUAAUCUUAUAUAAGAGUGCUCACCUCUUUGGUAUUUGUGUCUUUCGUCGAACGCAGUCUUGAAGUGUUUAGUGUUGUUUAUAUUUGAACCUAUAACAAAGGAUAAUACGUUAGGGGUUCAUAGAGUAAAGGAAAUGUUUUAAUGAUGCAAGCAGAAGUGUGAAGCUUUGAGGCGAUGAUGAUUAGCUGUUGUGUUGAUUAAUUAAAAGAGACACACCGUGAAACCCCGUAGCAUAUAUUUGUUUAAGUGUGUGUAUGUUGUGAAUAGUUAAAUGCGUUGGUGGAGUAUGGAUCAGCGACUAUGGCAGGACACGUCGUAUUUCAUUUUUAAUUGGACUGAGCUUGAUCCUACUUCAGUUUUUGUACAUAUAAUAUACACACUAUAGAACGUUUAUAUUAAAAAAAAUAAAUCCCUCAGGUCCGGUGUGGUUGUGGGAUCGAGUGGUGUGUGUGUGAGGUGAGACGAAUGAAAAAAUAAAACAAGAUAAAAUCUGUACACGCUAAGAAAAUAGAGACGGCGACAUCAGCGUUUGGCAAUCGAGAUAUUUAAAUAGAAGAACUUAUACGAGAAGCUGUAGUGGUCAAACGAUUUUGUCAACAGAAUAAAAAUAUAUAUGAUAAAUAUCAUCAUGGCAGAAGUGCUCCCGUAUGCCAACAUUUUUCUAUUUAUCUUUUUUUUUUAGCUUAGAUGCGAAACUGAGAAGGUAUUAAUUUUACUAUGAUGUGUUAUUGUAUUUAUUUUUUUUUUGGUGUCUGUGAAUGCUCAAUCUCAGCUCUCGCUCGACCGAUUUUGAUCUUUACCAGACCACAGAAAGGGUUUCAAAAUGGCAAAUUUUUCACAAAAAAUUUACUUUUUCAACUUAAUUUUUGAAAAUGUUCUAGAAAUACUGACACUUUUAUAUAUAUUUAAAAUUAAAGUUUAUUACAUAAACUUUAAUUUGAAAAAAAAAUUUGAUCACUGCAAUUGUCUUUAUGGUAAAAAUGACUACCGUAUGAAAAAAUAUGAUAUUUUUGUGAAAAAAUUUUUGAUAAUAAAUUUUACAUAUUUUAACAUUAUGUUUAAAACUUUUUAAUAAAUGCAUGAAUAAAUUCUUCAAUAAAGAUCAAGGAUCCCAUCACUGUAGUCGCCCCUUGUGAGAAGAAAUUUCUUAUUCAUAUUAAAAUUAUUUUACUAUAUUUUAGGUUUUAACUCCGAUGCAAAGCUGAGAAGAUAUUUUUUUGUGACUGUCAUUUAUAUUCUUCUUCUCCCACUUGACCUAAUUUUUUCAACGAUACGUCAAAUGAUUACAAUUCGUAUCUAGUUGAAGAUAUUACCCUCAAAAAUUCUAAUUUAUCAAUUAAAAAGUUGCUUAUCUCAUGUUCUCCUUACAGACAAUUAAAAUCAUUCAUU
Daktulosphaira vitifoliae (grape phylloxera) is the source of this 2370-nucleotide long non-coding RNA. RefSeq lists it as uncharacterized. NCBI's taxonomy places the organism in Eukaryota, Metazoa, Arthropoda, Insecta, Hemiptera, Phylloxeridae. The transcript is spliced from 4 exons. The record is from RefSeq and is a predicted model, not a curated record.